Molecule: small nucleolar RNA, 159 nt
Filed under: Canis lupus familiaris (dog)
Lineage: Eukaryota; Metazoa; Chordata; Mammalia; Carnivora; Canidae
Description: U8 small nucleolar RNA (ENSCAFG00040016763.1, ENSCAFG00805020669.1, ENSCAFG00845016113.1)
Rfam family: U8 small nucleolar RNA
About the family: U8 is a member of the C/D class of snoRNA which contain the C (UGAUGA) and D (CUGA) box motifs.
Source: RNAcentral
UCGUCAGGUAGGAUAAUCCUUACCUGUUCCUCCUUCGGGAGGGCAGGGAGGGCAGCUCGGAACAUGAUGAUUGGAGCUCGCAUGAUUCGUGAUUAGCGUCUCUGCGUAGUCGGGACUUGCAACAAAGAAGAAGUUCUUAAUACAGUAGGAAAUACUGAA